GCUGGGCGUGGUGGCGUAUGCCUGUAGUCCCUGCUACUCGGGAGGCUGAGGCGGGAGGAUCACUUGAACCUGGGAGGCAGAAGUUGCAGUGAGCCGAGAUCAUGCCACUGCACUCCAGCCUGGGUGACAGAGUGAGACCCUGUCUCAA
Pongo abelii (Sumatran orangutan) is the source of this 148-nucleotide unclassified non-coding RNA. It matches the Rfam family "Metazoan signal recognition particle RNA". Rfam says of the family: The signal recognition particle (SRP) is a universally conserved ribonucleoprotein. It is involved in the co-translational targeting of proteins to membranes. The eukaryotic SRP consists of a 300-nucleotide 7S RNA and six proteins: SRPs 72, 68, 54, 19, 14, and 9. NCBI's taxonomy places the organism in Eukaryota, Metazoa, Chordata, Mammalia, Primates, Hominidae. The record is from Ensembl.